Molecule: ribosomal RNA, 252 nt
Filed under: uncultured Bacteroidales bacterium
Lineage: Bacteria; Pseudomonadati; Bacteroidota; Bacteroidia; Bacteroidales
Description: partial 16S ribosomal RNA
Rfam family: Bacterial small subunit ribosomal RNA
Source: RNAcentral
UACGUAGGUGGCGAGCGUUAUCCGGAUUUAUUGGGUUUAAAGGGUGCGUAGGCGGACUGUCAAGUCAGCGGUAAAAUUGCGGGGCUCAACCCCGUCGAGCCGUUGAAACUGGCAGACUUGAGUUGGCGAGAAGUACGCGGAAUGCGCGGUGUAGCGGUGAAAUGCAUAGAUAUCGCGCAGAACUCCGAUUGCGAAGGCAGCAUACCGGCGCCCAACUGACGCUGAAGCACGAAAGCGUGGGUAUCGAACAGG